GACGGAACGCGUGGACGGCGCGCCUAACACAUGCAAGUCGAACGAGCGAGAGAGAGCUUGCUUUCUCAAGCGAGUGGCGAACGGGUGAGUAACGCGUGAGGAACCUGCCUCAAAGAGGGGGACAACAGUUGGAAACGACUGCUAAUACCGCAUAAGCCCACAGCUCGGCAUCGAGCAGAGGGAAAAGGAGUGAUCCGCUUUGAGAUGGCCUCGCGUCCGAUUAGCUGGUUGGUGAGGUAACGGCCCACCAAGGCGACGAUCGGUAGCCGGACUGAGAGGUUGAACGGCCACAUUGGGACUGAGACACGGCCCAG
RNAcentral lists this ribosomal RNA (314 nucleotides) under uncultured bacterium. RNAcentral describes it as "bacterial SSU rRNA". It matches the Rfam family "Bacterial small subunit ribosomal RNA", at positions 34 to 334 of the family's 1533-position model. The record is from RNAcentral.